GAGGGAAGGGGCUAGCGUUGUCCGGAAUUACUGGGCGUAAAGAGCGCGUAGGCGGCUUACCAAGUUGGGGGUGAAAUCCCGGAGCUCAACUCCGGAACUGCCUUCAAAACUGGUAGGCUCGAGUCCGGAAGAGGGGCGUGGAAUUCCCAGUGUAGAGGUGAAAUUCGUAGAUAUUGGGAAGAACACCGGUGGCGAAGGCGGCGCCCUGGUCCGGUACUGACGCUGAGGCGCGAAAGCGUGGGGAGCAAACAGG
This 253-nucleotide ribosomal RNA is filed under the name uncultured bacterium. Its description in RNAcentral is "partial 16S ribosomal RNA". It matches the Rfam family "Bacterial small subunit ribosomal RNA", at positions 524 to 776 of the family's 1533-position model. The record is from RNAcentral.